Sipha flava (yellow sugarcane aphid) is the source of this 687-nucleotide long non-coding RNA. RefSeq lists it as uncharacterized. The record is from RefSeq and is a predicted model, not a curated record. Lineage: Eukaryota; Metazoa; Arthropoda; Insecta; Hemiptera; Aphididae. The transcript is spliced from 3 exons.
GGGCGGACCGACACUUAAAAUAAGCAUACACUGUACACCGUCGCCGCCGCCGCCGCUUUUGAAACGCGCCAAAAAAGCUCGUUGCCGCCGCUAGUGAUCGCCAGUGCGCUCUCCGUGUGCGGUUGUUGCGGACGUCGGCAGCAGCGGGUCUCGACCGUCUUACACAAACACACACACACACACGAGCACACUCGCAUGAACGCACGUACGCGAAUUUCGGUUAUUUCAAUUUUUCGCUCGCGUCCAAGUCGAAUUCAACGCCGUCAUAACAUUCCGUCAUCGUAAAUCCGCCUCGGACAGCCGUUGCCGGGCGCGUGGCGUUCCGUUUUCGGAACGAUUGUUCAUCCAAGACGACCGCUGAGAAGGUCCCCGCGUGAAGACGAACCCCGUACGGCAAUCCGUCCGGUCGCCGGCGAAAACCCGUCUUUUGACUGCGAUACCACCACCGUCAGUGAUCGACGGCUCCAUUAGUCGGUUGUACAAUCGUACGCCGCGAACCGUACUCAUCGCCAUCGCUGCCGCCGGCUUCGAGGCGCGCUCGCUGUGAAAACCAAACGUUUCUCGUGACGCACGUGGUACCUACAUCGUGUACAAGCCCGGAAACAGCGGCAAUACUUUCGAAGGCCAAUGGCAAAACGGCAAGAGACAUGGGUUAGGCGUGGAAUCCCGAGGGCGGUGGUUGUACCG